CCUACGGGUUGCACCAGUGGGGAAUAUUGGACAAUGGGCGAAAGCCUGAUCCAGCAAUGCCGCGUGUGUGAAGAAGGUCUUCGGAUUGUAAAGUACUUUCAGCGGGGAGGAAGGGAGUAAAGUUAAUACCUUUGCUCAUUGACGUUACCCGCAGAAGAAGCACCGGCUAACUCCGUGCCAGCAGCCGCGGUAAUACGGAGGGUGCAAGCGUUAAUCGGAAUUACUGGGCGUAAAGCGCACGCAGGCGGUUUGUUAAGUCAGAUGUGAAAUCCCCGGGCUCAACCUGGGAACUGCAUCUGAUACUGGCAAGCUUGAGUCUCGUAGAGGGGGGUAGAAUUCCAGGUGUAGCGGUGAAAUGCGUAGAGAUCUGGAGGAAUACCGGUGGCGAAGGCGGCCCCCUGGACGAAGACUGACGCUCAGGUGCGAAAGCGUGGGGAGCAAACAGGAUUAGAUACCCGCGUAGUC
RNAcentral lists this ribosomal RNA (465 nucleotides) under uncultured bacterium. RNAcentral describes it as "bacterial SSU rRNA". It matches the Rfam family "Bacterial small subunit ribosomal RNA", at positions 338 to 795 of the family's 1533-position model. The record is from RNAcentral.